Molecule: long non-coding RNA, 6318 nt
Filed under: Equus caballus (horse)
Lineage: Eukaryota; Metazoa; Chordata; Mammalia; Perissodactyla; Equidae
Description: lncRNA (ENSECAG00000044194.1)
Source: RNAcentral
GCGAGGGCGCCCGAAGCUGCCUUGGGGAGACUCCGCGCCUCCCGGUCCUCGGAGCGGUCGAGGGGCCAGCCAAUGGGAGAGGGGGGCGGGGCCUGGGCGCGGCAGGGGCGGGGCCGCCCCGAGAUUUGCGGAGCGUCGCCCCGAGCGGGAGGCUGAGCUGGGGGUUGCCGCCGCCUGGGCUCCCGGUUCCGGGCGGCCCCGUGCGCGAGCGCAGGUACGGUCCUCGGGCGCCGGCUGCUUUCUGGAUCGCUUUACUGCAAAAGGUGGCUGUUAUGAACCCUGCUGGACCUCGAGAGUUUGACUUAGGACCCGUUGCGAGAGCAAAUCAUGGCCUUUAGGGAUGCUCGUACCAGAAGACUUCCAGUCCACGUUUUUAUUAGUGAUCAGAAGGUUCCCUGCCCCCACCCCGACGUGAGUGCAGUGAUGAAACGAAUACUGAGCAGGUACAUGUGGCAGGGCGGUUAAUCCGGACAGCAAUCCCAUAAGGAAGCGUCUGUUAUCCCCGUUUGUACAACCGGUCAACUAGUCCAGAGAAGUGCUGUUUGUUCUGUGCUACUUUUAGAAGAAGCCCCCCCCUGCAAAUAGAAGUCAGUGGUGAUCGCAUUAUUCUCCAGAGGACCUGGGCUUCUACUUCAGAGAGAGAAUGAGGACCAUCAAGCACGGAUGUCUACAAUUUUUGCCCAACCAUCUCAUCCAAACCCCACAAAUUACCUAUAUCCACACCCAGGUUUGCUAGCUUUCCUGUGUCUCGCAGGCUGGGUGUCCCCGCUUUUCUCUGAAGCAAACGUCUCCGCUGUCUGCUCCCACCUGUGACCGCCUCUUUGACGCAUCUUUAACCUUGUCCUUUCUAUUGGGUACAACUCUGCAGCACAGUCACAUUUUAAGACUUUUCUGCCUUAAAUUUUCCCAUGAUUUUACAACCUCGUUCUAGUUCUCUCUUCUUUCAUCAUAAUUAAGCUUUUGAAAGAAUUUUGUACCAAGAGCAGCGUUGACCCUCCAUGAAUAUUUUUAGGAUUCAAUAAAUAUCUUCUGACUGAAUGAAUGUACAUUCUCCUCUCCGUUGCAUCAGCUCCUACCCUCUGACUUCAUACCUGGAUUUGAAGCACACUAUAUCCACAAUAAUUCUAAAAUAGGCAUCUGAACAUGUUGCUCCACUGCUUAAAAUCUUUCACUGGCUCAUCGGAACUUUCAAGACAAAGAUUAACAGGGUCUUCAAGGCUCCUUUCAUGCUUGCAUGCUCUGUCUCUCCUGUUAUGCCAAACUCUUCAGAGUCCCCUGAUUGCGCGCGCUCAUCUCUGCUUUAAUGAGUACUGUUUCCUCUGACCUUUUCCUUAGCUUUUUGCUGGUCCAGACCAUUUGAAAGUAAAUCCAAGAACACGCUUACAAGCGCGUUCUCAGCCGUCACACCUGCGUACCCAGCAGAAGUCUGCACACCACCUGCAGAACGCUUCCAGGCCUCCUGCUUCCAUCUCUGCCAUGUCUCACUUUCAGCUCUCCUGAGUCCUCAGUUUCCCUCCUCAGUUCAGCUCCAUUCAGAAGCUGCUAAUAUUCACCUAGGCCCCAAAGUUGACAGCCAAUAUUGAACCAACCUUUUAUUAUUAAAUAUUUCUUUGGUUUCAAAUGAACACUAUUAUAAAUAUCUUUUCAUAAAUCCUUGUCCAUGUCCUUACUGCCUCAAGUCCUGAAAAGUAAUCAAAGGUAUGAACACUUUUAGCCUUUUAGAAACAUGUUGGCAAGCUGCCUUCCAGGAAGAACAUAGGCUCAAGUGUCACAUGGCCUGGGGUCAAAUCGCAGUUCUGCCACCUGGGGCCACGUUCUGAUUUUCAUGGGCCCUAGAUGCUUUUACCUUUGUGGCCACUUCUGCCACAAAAUAAUAUUAAAAAUUAUAUUUAUAACUGCAUUGGUUUAAGGACAGCAUAUUGAUGUUAUAUAGUAAAAUGUUUUCUUUGACCAUAGCAUUCAUUUUUUUUCUUCUGAUUUUAAAAGAAGUUAAAACAUUUUAUGGGCGUCUGAAAUUGUGGUGAGCCUGAGGCACUGUGCCCACUGUGACAAUUGGAUAAGUCAACCCUGCUGCGACCUACAGGCUAUGAGAUUUGGCCAAAUUCCUUAAUCUGGCUGUGCCUCAACCAGAAAAUUGGUGUAACGCGGCCAUAUGAUGUUGUAGCAAAAAGUAAAUAAGUUGUUACAAAUAAAAUACUUAGAAGUACAUGGCACAUAAUCAAUACGUUACCGUCAUUAUAACUUUUAGUCUCAAUUUUCCCACAGAGGUAUAUGAGAGUAUACGAUUGUCCUUCUUCACUGUGCCAAAGUCAUCAUGGUGUAUUUUUAUAUGGGCAAAUAUGGUUUCUUAUUGUUGGCUCAUUGUCCAUUUUCUUACUGGGGUAUUCACAAAAAGUCACUUUAUAUGAUGUAGAUAUUGAUCCUAGAUAAAGCUAUUGGUCUUUUCCAUUUUUGUUUCCUUCUAUUAUUUUUUGCUUCACAAGUCCUUUCCCAUCCUGAGAUCAUAUCAAUUAUCUGCCUUUAUUUUUACUACGUGUUUGGUAAUUUUGACUUUUCCGUUAAAUAAUUUAAUCCUUUGGGAUUUAUUUUGGAGUGAUGAUCUACCUUUCAUUUUCUCGAAAUGGCUGACGGUCUUCCCCAGCUCAUUUUCUAAAGAAUCCUUCUCCAAGUAUGAUGGUUUUAAAAUAUGUAUGCCCACAAAUUCAUCGAUAUUCCUUCCUUCAAAAAGUGGAGACUAAUUCCCUUCCAAGUGAAUGUGGGCUGUACUUAGUGACUUGCUCCUAAAGGAUACAAUAUAGCAGAAGUGACACUGUGGCCAUCUUAAAAAGGUAUCGUGGCUCCUCCCUACCCCCUCUCAGAUCACUUGCUCUGGGGAAGGCAGUUACCAUGUCAUGAAGACAUUAUCAAGUAGCUUUAUCAGACGCCCAUGUGUCAAAGAGCUGAAUAUCCUGCCAACAACCAGCAAGAAUCUGCAGCCUCUGCCAAUCUCCAUGUGACUGAGCCAUCUUGGAAGCAGGCCUUGGGAUGAUGCAGACAUCUUGACUGCAACCUCAAUAGAGACCUUGAACAAGAACCCCCAGCUGAGUCGCUCCCAAAUGCCUGACCCAUAGUAACUGUUUUGGGUUAUUAUGACUCAAGAUUCUAUGAACGUGUCAUCAAAAGUCUUUGUGUUGAAAUAUAUUUUCAUUUUUAUUGGGUAAACAAUGCCUAGAAGUAGAAUUGCUGGGUCACAAGUUCCAUCUGCACCCUCUAGAGUGGAAAGUUUUUGAGACCAGCUGUUUUAUCUCCUGUGUUCACUGCUGUGUCUCCAGUGCCUAAGACAGAGCCUGACAUACAAUGGGUGCUGAGCUGGAUAACUCUCCACAGAUGAUCCCUUGACUAUACUCUUAGCACCAACACUUGACAAUAGUUGAACAGUGAUGAGUUCUUGACCCAAAGGUGUUCAUCUUAAAAUCAGCCUGUAGCUUAUGACACGGCCUGGAAUAAGGGCUCUGCGGACAGUCUCCUGGAAGAUGAUAGCAGUGUCAGACACUCAGAGAGAGAUACAGAUAACAGAAUGGCAUGGAAACAAAGAGGCUUUACAGAAAGAAGCAGUGAUCAGAAGCCGUGAGGUAAAAGUAAAAAGCCAGGUGGAAGUGGCAGUGAAAUAGAAACAGCCAUGGUAGAAGUAAAGAUAAGUUUAGCCACAAAUAUGGAGGAGAAGCUAGAGUAGAGAGCAACGGGCACUUGCUGCUGAGGGGUCAUCGGACGAACAGGACUCGCAGCUGGAUUAUUAUAAUUGUGGAGACACUGCGCACCUGAGCAUCCUGACUGGCAUUCCAGUUUCCCUGGAGACCUGGCCAUAUGACUGUUGAGAGGCGGUUUGUUCAUAUGUCCCUUUGUAUCAACUGAAAUUACCUACGUAUGGCUUUUUUGCUGCCUGAAAAGACCCAACUAAUGCAAGUAUUUUUUAAAAAUAUUGCUAGAUUUAAUUUUCCACUCUUCGUUUGGAGGAUUUAGCUAUAGUUUUUCUUCUGUGUGUGUGUGUAUGUGUGCACACGUGCAUGUGCACGCAAUAUGUGCAUACUAACUUUGUAGGUUAAAUUUUUUCUGUUACAUCCUGUUAACUUCUCUGGUGGGCCCUCUAUAUUAUCUGCCUUCUCAGUGAUACUUUGCUAGGUUUGGCAAAAUUACUUGCAAUUUACAGGUGCUAUUGUUGCAUAACUUUCCUUUACCCUUGUAUUUGAUGAGUGUAUCUCAGAUAGAGAAUCUGUGUUUUGUUAAUCCAUUGCUUUGUGAAACUGAGUGCCAAAUUCCAAAUAAAAAUUCAAAACUUUUAAACACUGUAGUGCAUUUCUUAGCGAACUCUACUUUCUGAAGUAUCCAGAAUUCACCAUAUGGAAAUGUUAUACAAUUUCUCUUGAACAGGUUUGUUUAUAAAGUUUAGUAUCGUGGUGAGUUCAGGAAUCCAGGUGUCCAAAGAUUGGUUGUAUUAAUGACCCCGCUAAAUGGCCUCCGUAAAUCCAUAAUGUUUGUUCUAUAACCUUCAAGUUCCCUCCAACUCGGGGUCUAGGCUUGGGUACGUGACUGGCUUUGGUAAUAGGAUGUUAGCCAGCAUGACGUAAGAAGAGACUUGGAAAGUGUAUGUGCUUUUUGCUGCUUUUUUGUGUGAUUGGCCCGGCUCACCAUUCCCCUCUGCUGUGAUGUGAGAACAUGCCUGGGCUAGCCUGCAGGAAGGAUGUGAGAGGCAUGUGGAAGAGAGCUGUGCUGUUCCAGACAACCCAGCUAGAGCAUUCUAGAUCAGCCGACUGCCAGCUAGCCCUCAGAGUGGGGAGGAAAUCCAGCUGAGACCAGAAGAACAUUCCAGCUAAACCAUUCAAAAUUGUUCACCUGUAGUGAGCAAAAUAAAUGCUUAUUAUUUUAAGGAACUGUGUUUGGGAUGGUUUGUUACAAAGCAUUAUUGUGGCAAUAGAUAAUACCGAGAUGCUGAAAUAGUGGUUAAUCAAUGAGGAGACCUCCCUGUGUAUUUGAGGUGCCAAGUCAGCAAUAAUAUUCACAGAUGGUCGAUAUUUUCAUAUAUUCAUAUCUCUUUUUGUUUUCUUCUGUCUCUGGAAAAACUCCUUUACUGCCCCAGGAACAGUAAUGGUACCAGAGAAUGUUUCCCUCUGGCACUGUAGUAGCGUUUUAGGCACUAGGCAUGUCAAAAAAUAUGUCUGACUUUGCUCAUGGUGCGGUGUUUUGAUAUUUGAAGUGUUAAGAAGGUAAAUGGAUUUUAUUUGACUGGAAUGGUAAAGAUAAGACAUUCUCUGCCUCAAAUACUUGCCUGGAUUUAAGUCGUUGGUAAGAAGAAAAAAAAUAAUUAGGCUGGUGAAUGCUUUCAGUUAUGCCCUUUCCUGAUGACUCAUAGAUUUUAGAAUGCCUUUAAAGAAAUCUUGGAAAUACAGGCUGUCAGGUGAAGUCCUUGCUCUUAUAUUAGGCAAAUAUAGGUUUUUAAAAAGAAAACACAGAGGCUCCAGUUCAAGUUAACAAACAUUUAUUGAUCUCCUCUUACGUACCAGGCAUUAUAAAUACAAAAUCAGUGAAAAUACCCUCUGCACUAGACGAACUUAGAAUUCAGAAAAGAGACAGACAAAUAAAUCACGAUUCCAAUAUUCUAUGGUAAGCACAAUGAAGGCUCAUGCACACAAAGCUUAUGGUGGUCGAGGGGGUGGGGAUGGCAGGCCAGGUUUGUGUUUAAGGAAUUUAAAGGAUGAGUAGAUUUAGGCAAGUAAAAGAAGCGCUUCGCUGAGAAAGGAUUCCAGCAAGGAGCAAUAGCAUGAACAAUGACAUGGAAUGUGGAGCAGCAUGAUUACAUGGGAAACCACAGAACACAAUGGGGGACUGGGAGUUAUACUUGCCAAAAUAUAAUCAAAGUCCUGUUAGGUAUUUGCUUAUGUUUUCAAAUGUGCAAUUAUUUUUGAUAAUAGAGUUUUUGUUUUACACGAAAGUAAUCUUUGAGUAUCUUCUGGAUUUCUGUGAAUUCCGUGUGGACAGGGACCAAGUUCAUCUUCUCUCCUGCAUCUCAGCACCAGCACAGUGCCUGACACUUUGUACAGAUGCAAUACGUGUUUGUUGAGCAAAUUACUGAAUUCUCGAAACUGUCAGCCUUUGCCAAAGUCCUAUAGAAAUUUGUCUUUUAAAUUGUUCUUUUUAAUGUACUCAUAAAGAUGUAUUUUCUUGAAUAAUUUGUCUUUCUCAAAUUGUCUUCAAUAAAGGAUAGCUAAAUCUUCUGAUUUAUAAUUCUCCCUAUUUUUUUCUUUCAGUUUUAUUGAGAUAUAACUGACAUACAGCCCUGUAUAG